UACGGGGGGGGCAAGCGUUGUUCGGAAUUACUGGGCGUAAAGGGUUCGUAGGUGGCCGACUAAGUCAGACGUGAAAUCCCUCAGCUUAACUGGGGAACUGCGUCUGAUACUGGUUGGCUUGAGGACAGGAGAGGAACGCGGAAUUCCAGGUGUAGCGGUGAAAUGCGUAGAUAUCUGGAGGAACACCGAUGGCGAAGGCAGCCCCCUGGGCCAACACUGACGCUCAGGCACGAAAGCGUGGGGAGCAAACAGG
RNAcentral lists this ribosomal RNA (253 nucleotides) under uncultured bacterium. Its description in RNAcentral is "partial 16S ribosomal RNA". It matches the Rfam family "Bacterial small subunit ribosomal RNA", at positions 524 to 776 of the family's 1533-position model. The record is from RNAcentral.